GCAGAAAGAUCGUAGCUGAGCAGUGUGGCAGGGGAGGAGGGAAAAUGAGGACCUGAAGUGCCAGCAGCAGCCACACAUGUACAGUGACUGGGGUGCUGCUGACUGUAUCACUGACAACUGUAUCGCCCUGUGUAACCUCCUUUGCCAGGCCAGUGGUGAUCUGCAGGUGAAGGUGCAAUGGGGCCUUCUCACCCAGAAGUGGAAACAUCUAUGCAAAAGGAAUCACUUAACAAAAAGGAUUUAUUCUUUGGGAAAGUUUGGAAACUAGACGAAAAUAGAAAUAAACAUAAACAUUCAGUAUAACACCUGGAAUACUUCAUCAAUUACUUAAGAAAAGGAUUUUGGACAUGAUCCUUAGAAUUUCAAGGAAUACCGCCAACUGGCUACUGAUGAAGGACUGAGGUUUGAAACGCGUUUAGCGAUGGUAUGAUUGUCUCUCUCCACUACUGCUGAACCCUGGUACCGAUACUGCUGGACUGAACACACUAUCCGGAAGUGUGUUUCUGCUUACCCUUGGACGAUCUGGGGACCAUCAGGAGUCGGCACCAGUUGUUUCUACCAUGUGGAUUGUGUUAAUGCAUUACAUUAACCUAUGUUUGUAAGUGCACUUCAGUAUUAAAGCUGCUAUUGUUUUUAUCUAUCUGCACUAUUUUGCACUUUUUUAUCUUUUAUGGUAAACCACAACGAGCUGAACAUCUUGAAAAGGUCUCUUGCUGUAUUGCCUGUGUGGAUAAUCUAACACGCCUUUAAAAAGGAUUCGUUUGUAAGUGGACAUCGUGCAAUAAAGACAUAUUUUAAUUAA
This is a long non-coding RNA of Pseudophryne corroboree (corroboree frog), 802 nucleotides long. RefSeq lists it as uncharacterized. NCBI's taxonomy places the organism in Eukaryota, Metazoa, Chordata, Amphibia, Anura, Myobatrachidae. The transcript has 4 exons. The record is from RefSeq and is a predicted model, not a curated record.